RNAcentral lists this unclassified non-coding RNA (2813 nucleotides) under Leishmania donovani. Its description in RNAcentral is "gene:LdHU3.33.2720(CDS-product:mitochondrial_RNA_ binding_complex_1_subunit_putative)". The record is from RNAcentral. Lineage: Eukaryota; Euglenozoa; Kinetoplastea; Trypanosomatida; Trypanosomatidae.
CGCUUCACACCCCACCGUCGCCGAGUCUCAGAAAGAGCUACAGGUUUGCGCAGCUGCUUCACAGAGUCUGCCGCACAGAAGCGCCGGUACGAUAUGGGAACCCCGAGGCUGACUGCGCUCGUCUCUCGCUGCCGCAAGCCGAUCUUCACGGCUGCGGAAGACGUCGCUCUGACUUCGGCAGCGCUGCUGGACCUUACACUCUACCUGGACGCCCGCGAGACACGAGAGUGCCUCGUGCCACUGAAAAAGUUUGCGCGGCACAGCCCUGAGACUUUGCAGGCAGCAUUGGACAGCACCGAUGUUAGCCCAGGGGCAGCCGACGAUGGACGGCGUUUUGCUGCUGUUUCGCGCGUUAUCCCCACAUCCAAGUCUGCAGUGGCGACGGCGCUGUGGUCACGAGUCGUCAGCACCACUACCCGCGCCUUGGAGGCCGGUGUGUGGACCCCGUCGGACCUGCGGGUGAUAAUAAACCACAUUCGCCGGUUCAGCGCAUACGACGCGUCCUUUGUGGAGUGUGCCGCACGCUAUGCAGGUGCGGCUAUUCCGUGUGCCAGCGCCGAUGACCUACCGGCGCUUGUGUCGAUCGUGACGUCUCUCCCUGAGCUAGUAGCGCACCCGACGAGGCUGCUGGACGCUGCUGGGGAUCGAGCUGCGGUCCUCGCAGAGUCUCUUACCCCUGGCGCGGUUGGGCACAUCUGCGGCCAAUUGAAUCGCAGCCUUUGCACCAACACAAACGCAGUGAUUGCGUUUCAGGAGGAGGCCGGCCGAUGCGCGGAGAAGGGCGAUAUUUUUACGUCUGUGCAGCUGAUGUGCUUCGUGGCACGGCACAAACCUGCACUUAUCAGCGGCGAGGCGGUGGUGUGGCUGAUGGAGCGUAUCACUGGCGAAGAGCUGGACGUGAGGUCGCUAGAGAAUCUGUGCAGCGCUGUGGUGCACUUGCCGCUUGCAGUGCGCACUGCGCUUCGGCAGGAGCUGAUAGAGUUUGUGGCGUUCUUGUCCUUGCAGGCCCGCGAGCUGCUGCAGCAGGUGCCUGCGGCACAGGGCGGGCUGAGCGGGUGCCACGACGCUGAUGCAAUUCAGUACUUUGUAUCGCAUGUCUUGGAACUGAGCGUGAUGCUCCGCACCUACCCGGAUCUGCAGUGGCCACCCGAGUUUCUCGCUGCUGCGGACGCGUGCGCUGCCAGUGUGGAGCCGCUGCAGGAGGCGCUGCUAUCUGCGGAGAGCUCGCCUGUGGGGCUUAUGGUGCGCCUGUUAGAGGCGCCAACAGAUGAGUGCAAGCGGGUGGGCCUGGCAAUGCUGCGCGAGGCGGCGAACCAGUGCCAGUCGUUUGCGACCCUUCAAACAUUUCGAUUUCUUCUUCUCAUGGGCGACCACGGCCUGCAGGACGUGGGCACGUCCCGCUACUUGCGCGACCAGUUUGCGAAAACGGCCGCGGAUGUUCCGCCUGUGCAGUUGAGCGUGGCGCUGCGCUGCCUCGGCGUCGCGACGGCAGGUGCGGCAACGCAGGGUACCAGCAGCGCAGGCGAGCUCCGUACCACCGUAGAGGGCGUCGCGGGCGAUGCCGAUGUUGACGAUGAGCUGGAGCGCGAACGUCUCGAUGCGUUUCUGCAGUUUUGCGUGGAGGUGACGCGCAAGCACCUUUCGCAAGGCGCACCGCUACGCUGUGUGCUGGCUACGACAGAAAACUUGCAUCGUCUCGGCUGUCGUGACACAGCCUUCUUCGCCGAUGUGGCGGCGUACAUCGCAGCCAAGCGCGCUGCCGCACCUGCCGAGAAGGAAAGCGCCGACACUGCCACGGCGGUGUGCGCCGCUCUCGGAGAGCACUUGCUGGGAGAGUACCCUGAGGUGCGCGAGUUCUUGCUGGACGUGGCGCAGCGCGGUGUGAGGGGGGAGUCCGCUAUGUCGCCGACGCAGUGGAUGAACUUGCAUGACCCCUCGAAUGCUCUCACCCCCCUGACGGAGCAACAGCGGGAGAGCUGGGACAUUGUGGAGGAGAUGGUGCGCACCCGCUCGGACGACGCGGAUGCGCUUGUUCGGCUGGCGGAGAAGUACAUGGAGCUGCUACCGUUCGCGCGCCCCGAUGACCACAAGUACUUUUUUGGCGUGUGCGAGGAAAAGGUGCUCAAGCAGGAUAAGUUGCUGAAGAAGUGCCUAGACACGAUCGUUGACUGCGGUGUCGUGAACCGUCUGUCCGCACAGACGGUCGCAUCGAUCCUGCAUAGUCUCGCUGCGAUCCGCUUCGAGUACUUCGCAUCCGUGAAGCGCUUCAUGUCAAGCAUCAGUGAUGAGCAGUGGCUUUUGAUGGAGGCUGCGCCGCUAGUACAGAUCCUCACCGGCAUGGAUAAGCUCUCUCUCCGAACACCGACGGUGCUGCGCCGCAUUGGUGGACGCCUGACGGAGGUUUGCCGCUUCCUGACACCGUUGGACACUGCGCAGGCGAUUCAUGCGCUGCAGGCGUUGGGCCACAACGAUGCCAAGCUGCUAGGAAAGCUUGCCGCCCACGCUGCGGCGUUGGCUCGACGAUUCGACGAGGCCAGCAUGGCAGUGCUCUUCAGCACACCCUCAAUCCACAGACUGAUGAGCACGCCUGAAGUGGCGCGACCUCUUCUCCUACAAGCAAGUGCGAAGAUCCAGUCGCAACACCGGCGUGAGAAGAUAUCGGCGUGGGUGCGCCGCUCUGGCUUGCCGCGCGAGCUGAUCGAUGAAAGUACGAGGCGCCUUCAGGUGACGAGCAGGGAUGCCAGGUCCACGGAGGCUCGUCUUCGUCUCACCUAAGAAGGGUGCAAUUAUGUAGGCUGAUUCACAGGGCACUC